UCUGGCACCCGUGCCAUAGGUUCGCCACCACUGAACCUAGCCCAACACUGACCACUGUAGCUCUCACAUGGAUUUACACACACUAAUGAAUUUGCUGGUUAAAGUUGGCAAUUUUAUGUGCAUAACUGUCUUCUCUGUAAUUGGAAAAAAAUGUAUUUUGCUAAUAAAGAGUGAGAAGGACA
Molecule: long non-coding RNA, 182 nt
Organism: Sphaerodactylus townsendi
Lineage: Eukaryota; Metazoa; Chordata; Lepidosauria; Squamata; Sphaerodactylidae
Exons: 2
Source: RefSeq, a predicted model, not a curated record